CUACCGGUGCCGUGAGGCGCCGGGAUGGGGCGGCAGAAGUCAGCCGACGCCGUAGUAGUGCUGCAAAACCGGCAGCAUGAAGGGC
This is a non-coding RNA of Escherichia coli SMS-3-5, 85 nucleotides long. The record is from Rfam. Lineage: Bacteria; Pseudomonadati; Pseudomonadota; Gammaproteobacteria; Enterobacterales; Enterobacteriaceae.